This 305-nucleotide ribosomal RNA is filed under the name uncultured bacterium. RNAcentral describes it as "bacterial SSU rRNA". It matches the Rfam family "Bacterial small subunit ribosomal RNA", at positions 333 to 636 of the family's 1533-position model. The record is from RNAcentral.
UUGGGCUUACGGGACGCAGCAGUGAGGAAUAUUGGUCAAUGGCCGAGAGGCUGAACCAGCCAAGUCGCGUGAGGGAAGAAUGUCCUAUGGAUUGUAAACCUCUUUUGUCAGGGAGCAAAGUCACCCACGUGUGGGUGUUGGAGAGUACCUGAAGAAAAAGCAUCGGCUAACUCCGUGCCAGCAGCCGCGGUAAUACGGAGGAUGCGAGCGUUAUCCGGAUUUAUUGGGUUUAAAGGGUGCGUAGGCGGGCUUUUAAGUCAGCGGUAAAAAUUCGGGGCUCAACCCCGUCCGUCCGUUGAAACUGG